CCGUGCACGAACCUUCCGGCAAGGCUAACGACUCUUUCCUGACGAACGUACACCCGUGCUUAAUUAGGUUCGAUCCGAGCCGUGACCCGGAAGCAACCUAAAACUUUUAGAGAAGAUACACACACAAUCUAAACAGGAACAGGUUUCUAUUUAACUAAACAGUGAACGAUCUGAACUUUCGCGGCUGCACGAGUGAACUUCCCUCUGCUGCGGAUGUGAACUUCCUCUCUGUCUGUACGCGGAACGCACUUAAACCCCGCGGGGCGUUUUUCUUUGUUUUUUUUUUCUAAUCCCUACGCGCCCCGACAACUGCGUCUCCGCAAAACCCCUCAAUCUCCCCCCGAACUCGCUCUCUCCAUCUCCGCUCUCGUGACAACCGUCAAAACCGCGCCCCGAUUUCUGGCAGUUCAUCGGCAAACCUCUCGGGAGUGGUGGCGAUAAGCGAGGCACGGCGGUUGCGCACCCGUUUCCUCUAAAAUCUGCAGCCCCGACACCCCCUCACGCCACUUGGAGCGCUCCGCGAACUCCGUCGUGUCCAGCGCCGAGCGCCGCCGUCUGUUCGUGGAUUUAGGGUUCAAGAGCUUUUUCUACUGGUAUGUAUCACAAUUUCGUCGGUCUGGUCUUCACGCCCCUUGCUCUGUCCUCUCCGAUUUUGACCUAUGCAUCCACAUGCUCUGAUUCCAGGUUUUUCACCCAAAUUGGCGUCAAUGGAUAGUGGUUCUCCGGACUUAUUCGAUGAUAUGCUCCCUCUCGCACCCCUCCCCUGCCCACCUCUUAUUGUGAAUGCGCGCGAUUUUUAGGUUGUGCUUGUUUUUUUGGUUGCUUAUUUUCUUAUGAUUUUAGGGUUUGCAAUGUCACCACAUUGCUGUAAAUAGAUGUUUGAUAUUUAUUUUUUGUUUGAGUGCUUAAUGUUGUAGAUUUGUACCAAGUGUUGCUUGCAUUAGACUCAGGCAGGUGUGUAUGAUUUACUGAUACGUUUACUCGCAUGUGAACUUCCUGUGUGCUAAAUGUGAACCUCCAUCUGUAUUUUGUUGGUUCUGAAGCUUUAGCUGUUGUGCUGAUAUGCGAACUUCCAUAUGUGUCAACUAUGAACUUCCUGUUACUGAAAUGUGAACUUCCUGCUGUCCAUGUUGUCCUGUGAACUUCAUAUAGGCAUUUAUAAAGUUGGGUUGCAAUUUUACUUACUUGUGAUCUGUUUUAAGAAUUAAGUGUGAACCUCCUACUGGCUAUGUUGCUUUGUGAACUUCAGAUGUGUUAGAUGUGCUCCUUAUGCUGCUAACUUUACAUGAUGUAUAUGUUGUAUGAGUGAAGCUCUAGCAUCUGCAAUGGCUUGUUUUUUAAUUUACCCCAUGUGCUGAUAUGUGAACUUUCAUAAGGAUUAGAUGUGAACUUCUCUGUUACUGAAAUGUGAACUUCCUGCUGUCCAUGUUGUCAUGUGAACUUCAUAUACGCAUUUAUAAAGCUGGGUUGCAAUUUUAAUUGCUUGUGAACUGCUUUAAGGAUUAAGUGUGAACCUCCUGUUGGCUAUGUCGCUUUGUGAAUUUCAGAUGUGUUAGAUGUGCUGCUUAUGCUCUUAACUUCACAUGUUGUAUAUGUUGUAUGAGUGAAGCUCUGGCAUCUGCAAUGGCUUGUUUUUUAAUUGACCCCAUGUGAUGAUAUAUGAACUUUCAUAAGGAUUAGAUGUGAACUUCUCUGUUUGCUGUAAGGUGAACUUCCUGUUGUCUAUGUUGUCAUGUGAACUGUCUCCUGAUGACUGGCCAAGCAUACUCAGAGAUCUUGUGCUGCUGCUAGAUAUUGCGUCGCAGUCGCAGUCUACCGCUGGUGCCACUUGAGAUUCUUCUCAAGCGUGUGGUCUUCAAAACUAGGAAAUUUGAAUUUUGUCGGCGCCUUCGUGUAUGCAAUGUAUCUACCCAUGUGUUUGUGAAGUGACACUUGUAUUUUCUGUGCAUUUUUUUAUGUUCCUGUUGUGAAUCAUCCCAAACACGCUGCCAAUUUAAGCUUUUGUACAUGGUGUCAGCAAAACUGAUGUGUAUUGUGUGUCUUGUAUAUCUGGACCUCUGUGUUUAUAAAAUAGAACUUCCAAGGCAGUAAAUAGUGAACUUUCAUAUGCAUCCCUGUUUUGUUGCUACAUUUUUUUUGCCUCAAGGUCAUGUGUGUAUCUGGACCUCUGCAUUCAUAAAAGAUAACUUUCACGGCAGUAAAAAGUGUGUAUCUGGACCUCGAUUCCAUAUGCAUCCCUGUGUUCACUUGUGUUUUCUGUGUGUGUAUCUGGACCUCGAUUCCAUUCGCGUGUGUGUAUCAUAACUUCCUCAGUAUGUACAU
RNAcentral lists this long non-coding RNA (2322 nucleotides) under Brachypodium distachyon (stiff brome). Its description in RNAcentral is "long non-coding RNA (BDIS_LNC000968)". Lineage: Eukaryota; Viridiplantae; Streptophyta; Magnoliopsida; Poales; Poaceae. The record is from RNAcentral.